This 881-nucleotide ribosomal RNA is filed under the name Fusarium fujikuroi. RNAcentral's name for it is "partial large subunit ribosomal RNA". It matches the Rfam family "Eukaryotic large subunit ribosomal RNA", at positions 35 to 948 of the family's 3401-position model. The record is from RNAcentral. Lineage: Eukaryota; Fungi; Ascomycota; Sordariomycetes; Hypocreales; Nectriaceae.
AAAACACAAUCAAAAGCGGAGGAAAAGAAACCAACAGGGAUUGCCCUAGUAACGGCGAGUGAAGCGGCAACAGCUCAAAUUUGAAAUCUGGCUCUCGGGCCCGAGUUGUAAUUUGUAGAGGAUACUUUUGAUGCGGUGCCUUCCGAGUUCCCUGGAACGGGACGCCAUAGAGGGUGAGAGCCCCGUCUGGUUGGAUGCCAAAUCUCUGUAAAGUUCCUUCGACGAGUCGAGUAGUUUGGGAAUGCUGCUCUAAAUGGGAGGUAUAUGUCUUCUAAAGCUAAAUACCGGCCAGAGACCGAUAGCGCACAAGUAGAGUGAUCGAAAGAUGAAAAGCACUUUGAAAAGAGAGUUAAAAAGUACGUGAAAUUGUUGAAAGGGAAGCGUUUAUGACCAGACUUGGGCUUGGUUAAUCAUCUGGGGUUCUCCCCAGUGCACUUUUCCAGUCCAGGCCAGCAUCAGUUUUCCCCGGGGGAUAAAGACUUCGGGAAUGUGGCUCUCUUCGGGGAGUGUUAUAGCCCGUUGUGUAAUACCCUGGGGGGGACUGAGGUUCGCGCAUCUGCAAGGAUGCUGGCGUAAUGGUCAUCAACGACCCGUCUUGAAACACGGACCAAGGAGUCGUCUUCGUAUGCGAGUGUUCGGGUGUCAAACCCCUACGCGUAAUGAAAGUGAACGCAGGUGAGAGCUUCGGCGCAUCAUCGACCGAUCCUGAUGUUCUCGGAUGGAUUUGAGUAAGAGCAUACGGGGCCGGACCCGAAAGAAGGUGAACUAUGCCUGUAUAGGGUGAAGCCAGAGGAAACUCUGGUGGAGGCUCGCAGCGGUUCUGACGUGCAAAUCGAUCGUCAAAUAUGGGCAUGGGGGCGAAAGACUAAUCGACAUCCGGG